GGCAAGAUUAAAAUAUAAGAAACGCAGAUUGUUGGUUAACAUCAGGAUGUGGACAAAUUUCUAAGCUAAUAAGUAACAACGCAACUCUACUCUGUAGCUCAAUAAUAAAUGAACUUUCCAUAAAUUUAGAUCGAAACUAUCGUAACUGCUCUUCCAAAUAAAAAAUUGAAAAAAGAAGAAAUCGUUGAAAGGAAAUAUUCCAAGAAAAAGCCAAAUCA
This 218-nucleotide unclassified non-coding RNA is filed under the name Hevea brasiliensis (rubber tree). Lineage: Eukaryota; Viridiplantae; Streptophyta; Magnoliopsida; Malpighiales; Euphorbiaceae. The record is from RNAcentral.